RNAcentral lists this non-coding RNA (30 nucleotides) under Rattus norvegicus (Norway rat). Lineage: Eukaryota; Metazoa; Chordata; Mammalia; Rodentia; Muridae. The record is from RNAcentral.
UGUCCACUCUAUGACUCUUAGACGAUGGGA